Long non-coding RNA from Fundulus heteroclitus (mummichog), 752 nucleotides. RefSeq lists it as uncharacterized. The record is from RefSeq and is a predicted model, not a curated record. The transcript is spliced from 3 exons. Lineage: Eukaryota; Metazoa; Chordata; Actinopteri; Cyprinodontiformes; Fundulidae.
GAGGAGUGGUUCCAUAUUGAAGUCAGCACCACUCUUAAAAUUUGUUUCUAGGAAUUCACCACAUAUUACAGUUUUUAGAUUAAUAAUGAUAACGGUGGACAAACUCAGUGCAGUUAUUUUUUAGUUGGCAAAGAAGUGUCAUGUUUAACAAAGUGAGACUGAAUGAGGGCAACCACGGAGACAGACAGUACGGUCCGGCUUGGAGUUUCUGAGGCUGGAGUCCAGGUUUCUAGGAGGGGGGGAAACAGGAACAUGGAGUUAGGUCCAGGCUAACUCCAUGUUCUGGCGGCCAUCCAGAAGAGGAAGCCUCAAAGGCAGAGAUAAGAGCUGGAUAUAGGAUAAAUGAGCGGGAAACUCAGGAACGUUCUUCAGGACCAUAACCAGCCCAGUCCACCAGGUACUGGUACCCACGGCCGCGACGCCUGGAGGCCACGAUCUGGUGGACUGUGAAGGCCAGAUGACCAUCCACUACCCGGGUGGGUGGAGUCUGAGCCUCAGCCAUGCUUUGUCUUCUUUAAUAACGUACUGGUUUUAAUGCUUUACUUGGUAUGGAGUGAACAUACUUGUUUUACUUUGCUCACCAAAUGUAAAACUUGAACAGUCACCAAAUGUUUUACAUAUCAAUGUAAAAUAAGAUGAGGUGAUGUGUCUAUACCACAUAUUGCAGAAAAACUAAAUCUGAUCACCUUCUAUUUCUACUUACCAUCUAAUAGUGUCAUGGUGCAGCCUUGCCUGCUGCACCAUGGACAUUU